CUGGUCGACUGGAUCCUGUAGUUGUAUCCUGGCUCAGAUUGAACGCUAGCGGCAUGCCUUACACAUGCAAGUCGAACGGCAGCGGGGGAGCUUGCUCCCGCCGGCGAGUGGCAAACGGGUGAGUAAUACAUCGGAACGUGCCCAGUAGUGGGGGAUAGCCCGGCGAAAGCCGGAUUAAUACCGCAUACGACCUACGGGUGAAAGCGGGGGACCGAAAGGCCUCGCGCUAUUGGAGCGGCCGAUGGCUGAUUAGCUAGUUGGUGGGGUAAAGGCCUACCAAGGCUACGAUCAGUCGCUGGUCUGAGAGGACGACCAGCCACACUGGGACUGAGACACGGUCCAGACUCCUACGGGAGGCAGCAGUGAGGAAUCUUCCACAAUGGGCGAAAGCCUGAUGGAGCAACGCCGCGUGCAGGAUGAAGGCCUUCGGGUCGUAAACUGCUUUUGUUAGCGAAGAAUUUGACGGUAACUAACGAAUAAGGGUCGGCUAACUACGUGCCAGCAGCCGCGGUCAUACGUAGGACCCAAGCGUUAUCCGGAGUGACUGGGCGUAAAGAGUUGCGUAGGUGGUUAUGUAAGCGAAUAGUGAAACCUGGUGGCUCAACCAUACAGACUAUUAUUCGAACUGCAUAACUCGAGAAUGGUAGAGGUAGCUGGAAUUUCUAGUGUAGGAGUGAAAUCCGUAGAUAUUAGGAGGAACACCAGAGGCGAAGGCGACUCUCUGGGCCAUCACUGACGCUGAGGCACGAAAGCGUGGGUAGCAAACAGGAUUAGAUACCCUGGGUAGUUCCACGCCCUAAACGAUGAGUGCUAGAAUUUCGGGAUCAUGUUCGGANUCGCAGCUNACNCGUUUAAGCACUCCGCCUNAAGGAUUACNGGUCGCAAGANUUAAAAACUUUAAGGAAUUGACNGGGGCCCNCCACAAGCCGGUGGAAGCAUGGUGGUUUAAAUUCAACNAUNCCCNAAAAACCNUUACCAACUUNUUGACAUUGGGGAAUUUUUGGANCUUUGGGAAANCAAGGUUUUUUCGGUUUCNGCCNGGNUCCCNACNAAGGNUNCUNCNUGGNUUUUCUUCNNCNUCUUUNNUNNAAAANUUUGGUUAAAUUCCCCNANCCANGCCAACCNUUUUUCCNNNUUUNUAANAGGNUUUNUUUAAANUUUUNGGGAAACUUCCNNGNUAAAAUGGAAGNAAA
Molecule: ribosomal RNA, 1193 nt
Filed under: uncultured beta proteobacterium
Lineage: Bacteria; Pseudomonadati; Pseudomonadota; Betaproteobacteria
Description: partial 16S rRNA
Rfam family: Bacterial small subunit ribosomal RNA
Source: RNAcentral